UCCUGCUCUUGAUCUUCUGCUGUGUGGUGGACUUCACUGCAGCUGGUGUCCACACUGUCUCACAGGUCUGGGAAUAUUCUCAAGUCUGAGAAGAAAUCGAGUUCUGACAUUCUCUCUGUGUGUACUGGGGUUUUCCAGGUACUCAGAUUUCCUGCCACAGUCCAACACCAGGCAGGAUUGGAGUAAUGAUUCACUCUGAGUGCAGCACAGGUGUGAAUGUGAGUGUGAAUGGUUGUUCAUGGUUAACUGUCCACAGUGUACCCACACCGUGACCUGGGGGCUGCUGGGAUUGACUCCAUCUCCCCCACUACUGCCCCUGGUAUUGGCAUGGAACCGAUACUUUAUUCAAAUACCUGUUAUGUGUACCAAUCCUGAGUUAUUGUUACCACAGAGGAUACAUGAAGAGUCUCCACCUCAACGUGUCACCUGCUGUCGAGAGGAUGAUGGUACUCUGUGUACUCUGUCAGUAUGUGUAGUGCAUUUUGAUAAUAAAUCAAUCAGCUUUAGUUAAUAAAGAGUGAAUAUUAGUAUGAGUUGGACUGUAAUGUGAUAAUAUUUGUGUUCUGUAGGAGUAACAAGAAAUGGGUCGGGGGGAAAUGACAGAGUUGUCCUUUAUUUUUUAACCUGAGCCGCUGAGGAGAGGGCGGAGCAGGUGAUAAUCAGUGACACCUGUGGACGGAAGAGCCUGAAGUUCAAACACCUGGACCAUGUGGUUCUGUUGUUUCACCUGUUUGAUGCUGGUGUUGAAUUUGAUGGAUUGCACAUGAAGAAGCAGCUGUUCUUGCCUCAUCAUCAUCAUCAUCAUCACAGUGGUCCAGGGUCAUGGAGCUACAGUCUGAGAUGUUGCAUUCAUGUCACACAGAGUCAGUUCUUGGAUUCAACAGUAUGUCAACACACUGGGGCUGAUGUCAGUGUUGCAGCAAACUCAGCAUCUAUGACUCCAAGUAAAUCUGCCCCCCGACCAUCGUUGUUAUAUUUUUGGGCUAACCUCCGAGGCCGCUCUUGGCUGUGUUUCAGUUACUCAUCCUUGGACUGUAUUAAUUGGUACAGUGUCUCUGAGCCAACUCUGAUCUGUUCUCUACAACACUUGGUUGAACUGGUUGAACAACAGUGAUAAAUCAACGGCUAAAAGCAGUUUUGUAGUAACAGCCUCAUCAUGUCUGAUAGGAUUUUGUUCUGUAGGGAUUUUGUUAAAAGUUCCAUUUUCCAUUAUUCAUAUUUUAGAUUUUCAUUUUCAAUUUUUGACACUUUUGAACUUAAGUUAUGCUUUAUUGAGCACACACACACAGAGCUUUAAAAUGUCCCAGCUACUACCACUGUUCCAGUGACUGACCUCUGAGCUGCUGUUCUUCUGUCAGAAGUUCACCCUCUCCCUCUCUGGAUCACCAGAACCACAAGUCAUUAUUUUAAUAAUUCAUGGGUGAAAGCCUGUAAAUGAUGAGCCAAGUAAGUCACCCUGAAUCAUUCUGCUGUUGCCAUAAAUAAUGUAUACUGCUGCAGAAUCCCAGGGCACCAGACACAGCAGUCUGGCCGUCCGACCGCCGCCGAGCCUCCUCCUGUUUUAAAUUCACUCCUCCUUUCGUUAAUUCCCCCUUUAACUUUGACUUUAUGUAUCAUCACGCUCCUCUUCCUCCCUUCUGUCUCUGAAACCUAUUUGUUCUCUGUCUCACUGUCAUCCAUUUAAAGUUCUUGCUGCAUCUUCGUCGUCUUGUCUGCCUGCUCUUCUUCUCACCACUCCUUUUUUCUGACCUCUCUCGCGUUCUCACCUUCGUCUUUGGUCCUUUGUAGAAGCAUCAAGGAAUUAUUUUUUUUCCCUUUCUUCUCCAGCGUGGGCUGGAGUGUGUGGAUGAUUUGUGAGAUAACACCAAGGUCAGUUCCAUCAGCUGCUGCCAUGAGAACAUCUUUCCCAUUACUUUUCUCAUACGUCCAUGGAGUAAAAUGUCAGGUCAUCACGGCCUGGUCACAUAUGCUUGGCCAUUAAGCAGUAAAGGUUUGAUGGUCAGGUGGUGCUGACAUCAUUUAAGUGCUCACUUGUCUUUUUUAGGUGUGAAGAAAAUAGCACAGUUAGAGAUGUGGUCAAUUUCAAUUUGAGCUAAACUUAAGGCAGUCAGUUAGUUUGUUAGUUAGUUAGAAAGUCCAAAUUCAUCUCAUGCAGAGCUGCAGCUGAUUAAGUGUAUGUUGUGUGUUCUCAUGAUAGGAUGUCAUGUCAAGAAGAACAAAAAGUCAAGCUAAUUUUCAGGAGUUUGUGUGAAUUAUCAGGUUAACGAAGGUGGAUUGGAUUUUGGAGCUAAUAAAAUUAACAUGAAUUUCCCGAGAGUUCUGGAAGAUACCUGGAAACAAAGGUUAGCCAAGAGAAUAGUAAAUGCUUUGAAUGGUUGGACUAAUUUAGCACUAAAACAGCUUCAGUUUUACCAGGCUGGAAGUUUGAAGUCCCUGCAGAAUAACAGUGAAUAACAACAUAAUACAUAAAAAAUCAGCAUUGGUUUCUGCAUUUCCUCCCAUUUGACAGAAUAUUUUGAAUUUAGUUUAGUUUUUAUUUACCUUAUAUAUUUGUAGCAGGUCAUAUGAAAUCCAAUCUGCCCGGUCAGUGUUAUGAUAACCAUGAUGGACAGUUUUAAUGUCCAGCGUUUUGACUAAGGAGUCUCCACUUGUGGAGAAACAGCGGUGACGUAGAGAUAAUUUGUUGUGUUAAACCUAACGUCCACUGACAUUUGUCUACUGCUGGUAACACACCAGGCCUGGCGUGUUAUGGAAACAGAGGCGAAGGUCACAGGGGUCAGCCUGUCAUGUUUGAUUAGGACCAGUGAGCUGACACAGACAGCGACCCUGGAGACUCUGCGGGUCGUUUUAGUUCCACGUUCGUGUGUGUCUCCUGAGAUGAGGUUUCAUUUCAA
This is a long non-coding RNA of Cynoglossus semilaevis (tongue sole), 2894 nucleotides long. RefSeq lists it as uncharacterized. The transcript is spliced from 3 exons. The record is from RefSeq and is a predicted model, not a curated record. Lineage: Eukaryota; Metazoa; Chordata; Actinopteri; Pleuronectiformes; Cynoglossidae.